RNAcentral lists this long non-coding RNA (252 nucleotides) under Physcomitrium patens. Its description in RNAcentral is "long non-coding RNA (PPAT_LNC008176)". The record is from RNAcentral. Lineage: Eukaryota; Viridiplantae; Streptophyta; Bryopsida; Funariales; Funariaceae.
AUGGUCAAUCCCUAGGUACCAACCUAACCUAUCUUAAGGAUUUUUUAACCCAAUCCUAUCCUCAACUUGGCGCUAGCAUCAACCAUGCUAAUUAUUUAUUUCUUUGAAUCUGAUUUUAUUAAUUUAUGAUCUUUUGAAAGCAAUAAAAGAGUCUAUACUAUCUAGAAGGUAAAAUUAUUAAUCAACUUUUAACUUACUAACUAUUAAGAAAAGAAAAUAAACUAAGAGGCUUUUAUAAAAGCCAUGUUUAAA